CUCUGUACCAGUAACACCCUGUAUAUAGCCUCCACAUUGACUCUGUACCGGUACCCCCUAUAUAUAGCCUCCACAUUGACUCUGUACUGGUACCCCCUGUAUAUAGCCUCCACAUUGACUCUGUACCAGUACCCCCUGUAUAUAGCCUCCACAUUGACUCUGUACCGUAAUACCCUGUAUAUAGCCUCCACAUUGACUCUGUACCGUAAUACCCUGUAUAUAGCCUCCACAUUGACUCUGUACCGUAAUACCCUGUAUAUAGCCUCCACAUUGACUCUGUACCGUAAUACCCUGUAUAUAGCCUCCACAUUGACUCUGUACCGUAAUACCCUGUAUAUAACCUCCACUUUGACUCUGUACCGUAAUACCCUGUAUAUAGCCUCCACAUUCUCUCUGUACCGGUACCCCCUGUAUAUAGCCUCCCCAUUGACUCUGUACCGGUACCCCCUGUAUAUAGUCUCCACAUUGACUCUGUACCGGUACCCCCUGUAUAUAGUCUCCACAUUGACUCUGUACCGGUACCCCCUGUAUAUAGCCUCCCCAUUGACUCUGUACCGGUACCCCCUGUAUAUAGCCUCCCCAUUGACUCUGUACCGGGACCCCCUGUAUAUAGCCUCCCCAUUGACUCUGUACCGGUACCCCCUGUAUAUAGCCUCCCCAUUGACUCUGUACCGGUACCCCCUGUAUAUAGCCUCCACAUUGACUCUGUACCGGUACCCCCUGUAUAUAGCCUCCACAUUGACUCUGUACUGGUACCCCCUGUAUAUAGCCUCCACAUUGACUCUGUACCGGUACCCCCUGUAUAUAGCCUCCACAUUGACUCUGUACCGGUACCCCCUGUAUAUAGCCUCCACAUUGACUCUGUACCGGUACCCCCUGUAUAUAGCCUCCACAUUGACUCUGUACCAGUACCCCCUGUAUAUAGCCUCCACAUUGACUCUGUACCGUAAUACCCUGUAUAUAGCCUCCACAUUGACUCUGUACCGUAAUACCCUGUAUAUAGCCUCCACAUUGACUCUGUACCGUAAUACCCUGUAUAUAGCCUCCACAUUGACUCUGUACCGUAAUACCCUGUAUAUAGCCUCCACAUUGACUCUGUACCGGUACCCCCUGUAUAUAGCCUCCACAUUGACUCUGUACUGGUACCCCCUGUUUAUAGCCUCCACAUUGACUCUGUACCGGUACCCCCUGUAUAUAGCCUCCACAUUCACUCUGUACCGGUACCCCCUGUAUAUAGCCUCCACAUUCUCUCUGUACCGGUAA
This 1263-nucleotide long non-coding RNA is filed under the name Oncorhynchus mykiss (rainbow trout). RNAcentral's name for it is "lncRNA (ENSOMYG00000054387.1)". The record is from RNAcentral. Lineage: Eukaryota; Metazoa; Chordata; Actinopteri; Salmoniformes; Salmonidae.